Molecule: small RNA, 138 nt
Filed under: Sinorhizobium saheli
Lineage: Bacteria; Pseudomonadati; Pseudomonadota; Alphaproteobacteria; Hyphomicrobiales; Rhizobiaceae
Description: Rhizobiales sRNA Atu_C7
Rfam family: Rhizobiales sRNA Atu_C7 (bases 39-138)
Source: Rfam by way of RNAcentral
CGGAUACUGAAGCAAUAACCGGAUGAUGAAGCAGCAUGGGUUCUCCUGGCGUGUCCUGGUGCAGCAGAUGUUCCCUCCCUCAUCUGUGUGCGAUGCGCCCUCCUAGCCUCGCUCGUCGACCGACCGGCGAGGCUUUUU